Molecule: transfer RNA, 65 nt
Filed under: Crepititermes verruculosus
Lineage: Eukaryota; Metazoa; Arthropoda; Insecta; Blattodea; Termitidae
Description: tRNA-Ala
Source: RNAcentral
GGGACUAUAGUUAAUAAUAACAUUUGAGUUGCAUUCAAAAAGUACUACUUCAGUAGUUAGCCUCA